AACUUCAUGAUCUUCAUAGGCUCGUAUUCUUUUUCUAGUGGGCUGCCCACCACAAAAAUCUUGCACGUGCUCCUUGUUGUCUACUUCCUCAAUCCCAAAAGUUUCUCUAUCAAAAACACCAUCACAAUACUCACCAUCAAUAUCAAAGUCAUCAAGAUUCCCUUUACUCUCACUACUCACUGCCUCAAAACCAGAAGAACCUUCAGGUGCUUCUUCUACAUAAUCAUCAUCUUCAUCACUAUUCUCUACGUUCUUUCCACUAGAAGAAGUCUCAUUUUCCUCCAAACCAACAUCUGAAAUGGUCACUGCAACCCCAUCCUUCUCACCAUUAAAUUUUGACCCACUACAACUUUCUCCCAUCUCUAUACUCUGAUGACUUAACUUUAAAAUUAAAGUUUUGAGUUCACUCAUCAUACCUUGUAGUUGGGCUUCUUGACGGUGCUCCCGUUCCAAGAUCAUUGCCGCAACUUCUUUCUUCCAUUCUUUAAAACAAAUUCCUUCUGCCAUGGCCUUAGAAAAUUACAGAGAAAGAUGGAAAGAAAAUUGAGAAACAAGGACUGAUGGGAAAGAACAGAGAAGGGAAAACCCUAGAUCAAGAAAGAAGGAAGAUCAAGAAAGGAAAAACUAACAGGAGAACCCAUGGCCAAGGACCAUUAGCUCUGAUACCAAUUGAUGCAACCCAAGAGAAACUGAACCAAGGAAGGGGAGAAACACAGAAGAUUGAGAGAGAGAAUGAGAUCAGAAAUGAGAAAGACCGGAAUUCUUAUUCAUAUCACACACAUUACAAUAUUAUCGAAGAAUAUUUAUUUAUACAUUUCAUCUAUGUAACUGCUAUAUUCUGUUACAACUGAUUCCUAACAACUCUAACUAAUCCAACUCUUUCACUUUUAUUCUUUGUAUUGUAUCAAUACCUUCAGCUUGAAAAGUUUCUUGUCCUCAAGGAACUCUGAAGAAUGCAAAUAUGGCUUACUGGCAAAUUCCCACCCUUAGCUUCUUUGUUGAAAGGAAACCUAUUUUCUUCCUUUGUCUUUGCCUCAUUUCAUACUCAUUUUCCUUGAGAUUCCAGCACCCUCUUUUACAUGCAAUUGCAACAGGUAAAUCUUGUAAAUAACAAUCAUUUUCAGCAUUUGAUUCAUUUACAUCAAAUUCUUGAAGCUUCAAAGUUCGAACACCUGCUGCAAUGGUAAGUACCUUGUAGCUUAUGGUCUUUCCAGCUGCAAUGAAUGAAAGACUUGGCUCAAUGAUUGGCUCAUUAAUUUCUUCACUGGGCAUUCCCGUCUUGCCCCACAUGGAAUUUGCAAGAAUCUUCUCAACUUCAUGAUCUUCAUAGGCUC
This 1334-nucleotide unclassified non-coding RNA is filed under the name Hevea brasiliensis (rubber tree). Lineage: Eukaryota; Viridiplantae; Streptophyta; Magnoliopsida; Malpighiales; Euphorbiaceae. The record is from RNAcentral.